This 910-nucleotide long non-coding RNA is filed under the name Olea europaea subsp. europaea. Lineage: Eukaryota; Viridiplantae; Streptophyta; Magnoliopsida; Lamiales; Oleaceae. The record is from RNAcentral.
AUUUAGGGAAAUUUGACUGGUACAAAAUUGUCGAGUAUGCCCUACGGCUCUGCACCUGCCACACCUACGCGGUCGAGGAAACUCUCCGGUAGAUGAUAUUUUAGAUAUACUUGGACGUCAGGACCACAUGGUUCAACUGCUGGUGGUAACAAAUUAUGAAAUGGGAGAAUGUGCUCGGGAACUUCCCACUCGGCUUCAUUCGGCAGAGGAAAUAUAGUCUCAGCAUAUGCUGUUCUCCAACACUCAGUCGUAUAAUACAAAGAGCAUAACUUUCUCGCAGCAAAGUCUCGAUACAUGGCCACCGCAACUGCAUGCUCACAUGGAAAGCUCUCCAACUGAAAUCUCGUACAACUGCAUGUGUUAUCAGUCAAGUCCACCAUAUAUGCCAUAUUACGUGCACAUUGCACGGAGAAGCGAAACUCAUCUAGUGCUUCCACAUUCAACUUCCUCGCAACCUCUGCCGCCUUAAACAGUUUAUCCUCUUGAGCUGGGGCCAACACGCUACUGCAACUCUGUGAUGCCGUACGUUGGUCAUGAAACCACUGUUGUAACUUGUUACGAAUGUUCUCAAUCAUUCCGAUAAUUGGUAACUCUCGAUCCUUCUUAAACAAUGCAUUGAGAGACUCCGCGUUAUUCGUCGUCAUCAUGUUGUAUUGACGUCCUGGAAAGUAUGACCGCGCCCAAUGUUUGAUCCCCAUCUUCGUCAGAUACUCCAACGUCGGUAAUGAUUUACUUCCUAUCUCGAGCAUGAACUUAUUAUACUUUUCAGCACUGUAAGUUUCGGCUGCUCUCCUGAACAAUGAAACGAUGCCUGUGCCCCGAUACCUAGUCUUCAAAUUACCUUGUAUAUGGUACAUGCAAUACCCGUGAUGUGCCCCGGGAAAAAUUUCAACGAUAUCGUUUAUUAUAG